AUCAUGGCUCAGAACGAACGUUGGCGGCGUGGAUGAGGCAUGCAAGUCGCACGUGAAAGUCGCAAGAUGAGUAAAGUGGCGGACGGGCGAGUAACACGUAAUCAAGCUGCCCUUGAGACAGGAAUAACUUCGGGAAACCGAAGCUAAUACCUGAUGGUCUUGCUGGAUCGCAUGGUCUAGCAAGUAAAUGGUGGGGUCCUCCGGGACCUGCUGCUCAGGGAGGUGAUUGCGGCCCAUCAGUUAGUUGGCGGGGUAAUGGCCCACCAAGACUACGACGGGUAGCCGGCCUUAGAGGGUGGUCGGCCGCACUGGGACUGAGACACUGCCCAGACUCCUACGGGAGGCUGCAGUCGAGAAUCUUCCGCAAUGGGCGAAAGCCUGACGGAGCGACGCCGCGUGGAGGAUUAAGGCCUUCGGGUUGUAAACUCCUGUCACGGGUUAUGAACGGCGUAGUGUUAAUAGCGCUACGAUUGACGUAAGCCCGAGAGGAAGCACUGGCUAACUCUGUGCCAGCAGCCGCGGUAAUACAGAGAGUGCGAACGUUGUUCGGAAUUACUGGGCUUAAAGCGCACGUAGGCGGUGCCGCAAGUGUUGGGUAAAAUCCCACGGCUUACCCGUGGAACUGCCUGGCAAACUGCGGUGCUAGAGGAUGGUAGGGGAGAGCGGAACUCCUG
Molecule: ribosomal RNA, 674 nt
Filed under: uncultured Crater Lake bacterium CL500-100
Lineage: Bacteria
Description: bacterial SSU rRNA
Rfam family: Bacterial small subunit ribosomal RNA
Source: RNAcentral